GGGCUUAUAGCUCAGUCGGUUAGAGCGCUUCCCUGAUAAGGAAGAGGUCGCUGGUUCGAGUCCAGCUAAGCCCACCA
RNAcentral lists this transfer RNA (77 nucleotides) under Bowdeniella nasicola. Its description in RNAcentral is "tRNA-Ile". It matches the Rfam family "tRNA". Rfam says of the family: Transfer RNA (tRNA) molecules are approximately 80 nucleotides in length. Their secondary structure includes four short double-helical elements and three loops (D, anti-codon, and T loops). Further hydrogen bonds mediate the characteristic L-shaped molecular structure. tRNAs have two regions of fundamental functional importance: the anti-codon, which is responsible for specific mRNA codon recognition, and the 3' end, to which the tRNAs corresponding amino acid is attached (by aminoacyl-tRNA synthetases). tRNAs cope with the degeneracy of the genetic code in two manners: having more than one tRNA (with a specific anti-codon) for a particular amino acid; and 'wobble' base-pairing, i.e. permitting non-standard base-pairing at the 3rd anti-codon position. The record is from RNAcentral. Lineage: Bacteria; Bacillati; Actinomycetota; Actinomycetes; Actinomycetales; Actinomycetaceae.